This 253-nucleotide ribosomal RNA is filed under the name uncultured bacterium. Its description in RNAcentral is "partial 16S ribosomal RNA". It matches the Rfam family "Bacterial small subunit ribosomal RNA", at positions 524 to 776 of the family's 1533-position model. The record is from RNAcentral.
UACGGAGGAUGCAAGCGUUAUCCGGAUUCAUUGGGUUUAAAGGGUGCGUAGGCGGAACAGUAAGUCAGUGGUGAAAUCCUGCGGCUUAACCGCAGAACUGCCAUUGAUACUGCUGUUCUUGAGUACAGUUGAGGUGGGCGGAACGUGUCAUGUAGCGGUGAAAUGCUUAGAUAUGACACUGAACACCGAUUGCGCAGGCAGCUCACUAACCUGUAACUGACGCUGAGGCACGAAAGCAUGGGGAGCAAACAGG